Molecule: ribosomal RNA, 540 nt
Filed under: Phyllobacteriaceae bacterium enrichment culture DGGE band M81B17
Lineage: Bacteria; Pseudomonadati; Pseudomonadota; Alphaproteobacteria; Hyphomicrobiales; Phyllobacteriaceae
Description: bacterial SSU rRNA
Rfam family: Bacterial small subunit ribosomal RNA
Source: RNAcentral
CUACGGGAGGCAGCAGUGGGGAAUCUUAGUCAAGGCGCAGCCUGAUCAGCCAUGCCGCGUGAGUGAUGAAGGCCCUAGGGUUGUAAAGCUCUUUCACCGGUGAAGAUAAUGACGGUAGCCGGAGAAGAAGCCCCGGCUAACUCCGUGCCAGCAGCCGCGGUAAUACGGAGGGGGCUAGCGUUGUUCGGAAUUACUGGGCGUAAAGCGCACGUAGGCGGGUAUCCAAGUUGGGGGUGAAAUCCCGGGGCUCAACCCCGGAACUGCCUCCAAAACUGGGUACCUAGAGUCCGAGAGAGGUGAGUGGAAUUCCCAGUGUAGAGGUGAAAUUCGUAGAUAUUGGGAAGAACACCAGUGGCGAAGGCGGCUCACUGGCUCGGUACUGACGCUGAGGUGCGACAGCGUGGGGAGCAAACAGGAUUAGAUACCCUGGUAGUCCACGCCGUAAACGAUGAGAGCUAGUUGUCGGGCAGCAUGCUGUUCGGUGACGCAGCUAACGCAUAAGCUCUCCGCCUGGGGAGUACGGUCGCAAGAUUAAAACUC